CCUCAGACCACAGGGUCUCCUCCUUGGUAAAGACUGAAUACCUCUCCUGAGUCAGACAGGUGUGCAGUAAGGUCUGUUCCUUUAGAGAAGAUGGAGCAUUCGAUGGCAGAAGAGCUUCAGCAAGGCAGGUCUUUUGGUCUUUGCAGCUGGAGAAAACUCACAGAGGCGGACAAGCAGCUAGCAGUGAUGGGGUGUUGGUUCUCCCACCCCCAGCAGCGUCCUAGGAAUCCUGGGGUCCCCGGGGAGGGGCUGCAGCCGACUUGCAGAUCACAGGGGAGCCCGACCACCUCCUGGCUUCAUUCCCUCUAAACCCGCAUCUCGGGGCAGCAGUACAGCUCAGCAGUAUUUUGGGACAGCCAUCAGCUCUCAUUCUGAUCCCAUGAUUACACAUUUACAACAACAUCUUCCCCUCUCCUCUGCAGGUCGGUCCCUAGGUUCAUGCAGCCAGAAAUUCGGGGUCUGGCACCGUCCCUGGGGAUGACUGGGAGGCGGUACAGUUGUUUUCCACAGCAUCAACCUCCAACAGCUGGGGCUGCUCUUUAACUCCCUGCUAUGGAUUGGCUGUUAAUUUAUCUAAGCCCUCCCUGAACCUGUUUAUGUUUCAUUAAACUCUUUUAUUGAUCCUCUUAAUUUUCUCUCUGCUAAUUUACUCUGGGCCUUGACUUCAUACCUUCUCUCUGAGGCUGGGUUUCAAGCAUUUCCAACGUGUUGCACCCUCGGCCCCCAGCAAGUGCCACACCCAUAGAGCCAGCCUUCAGCAGCCACCUGUCAGCCCUCACAGCCCCUCCGCUCCUGCUCCUACAGAACUCAGAGAGGCAGACUGUCCACCUCUCUUCUCCUUUUGCCUUUUAAUGCUUAACCCCAAAUAAUGAACCUUUGAUGGUGCCCAUUAUGUAGUGGUGAAAGUACUUUUGGGCGGGGAAGCCUUUCAAUGUGAGGGGCUCCCUGUUCUGCUUUUUUUUUUCCAGGACCUUGUGCCUGUUCUGCUUCGGACACAUGUUCACUGAUGCUGCAGUCUGCUGGGUGGGUGAGUAGUUUACAUGAUGAGAGGACUGCAGGACACUCUUGGGACAUUUAUAGAGA
This 1083-nucleotide long non-coding RNA is filed under the name Fukomys damarensis (Damara mole-rat). RNAcentral's name for it is "lncRNA (ENSFDAG00000031676.1)". The record is from RNAcentral. Lineage: Eukaryota; Metazoa; Chordata; Mammalia; Rodentia; Bathyergidae.